CGGGAGCGCGCGUUUAUUUCUGAGCCGCAGUCGCAGAGAGACAGAGAGCGUGUACGGGAGCGCGCCUGGGAUUUUCUCUCCUUUCUCCUAGAGGAUCGCGUUCAGGAAUUAUCCAGAGGACUUUCAUGUGAACAUACACACACAGACACACACACACACACACACACACACACACACAGAGUGUGAGUGUGUGUGUUUAUUCUGCUAUAUAAGGGAUGAGCUGAUACACAUGUGAUGGAUCACACAUUUCGGGAAUGAUGGAAAACCUGUUAGGAAUAUAAACACACUUUACAGCUUGGAGUGUGAGAGCAGGACAUCAUCCUCACAGCACACAUGGAACAUCACCAGACUGUGUUUUGGACUCAUAAAGAAACUGCAAGAAGGAAGCGUACAGAGUAGGGCUGGGCGAUAUAUUGAUAUAAUAUCGAUAUCGUGAUAAAUGACUACGCGAUACACUUUUCAGAGAUAUCGUGAUGGAACUCUUGGCGGAUUUGGCGGAUUUGGCUGGAAUAUAGAGACACGAACAGCACAUCUGGAGGAAAAGUGAGUAAAUGAACCAGCUAGGUUACUAGUACGUGUAUAUAAGUGUAUGAAAUCUGACACAAAUCAGAAGCGGCUUUAGAUGCUUCGGCAACGAUAAUAAUCCUUUAAUAGUGAGUCUGUUACUCUAUUUAUAGUCCAUAUAAUAAUAUUGAUUUAUAGUCCAUAUAAAUCACAAAUCUCUGUUUGACGCUUUUCAGUCCGAGAAAGAAAAGAGGCUCUUUAGUGGGCUUUUCUUCCAUUGUUCAUUGUCCA
Molecule: long non-coding RNA, 795 nt
Organism: Ictalurus punctatus (channel catfish)
Lineage: Eukaryota; Metazoa; Chordata; Actinopteri; Siluriformes; Ictaluridae
Source: Ensembl